CCAAUAGCGUAUAUUAAAGUUGUUGUGGUUAAAAAGCUCGUAGUUGAACCUUGGGCCUGGCUGGCCGGUCCGCCUCACCGCGUGUACUGGUCCGGCCGGGCCUUUCCCUCUGUGGAACCUCAUGCCCUUCACUGGGUGUGACGGGGAAGCAGGACUUUUACUGUGAAAAAAUUAGAGUGCUCCAAGCAGGCCUAUGCUCGAAUACAUUAGCAUGGAAUAAUAAAAUAGGACGUGCGGUUCUAUUUUGUUGGUUUCUAGGACCGCCGUAAUGAUUAAUAGGGACAGUCGGGGGCAUCAGUAUUCAAUUGUCAGAGGUGAAAUUCUUGGAUUUAUUGAAGACUAACUACUGCGAAAGCAUUUGCCAAGGAUGUUUUCAUUAAUCAGGAACGAAAGUUAGGGGAUCGAAGACGAUCAGAUACCGUCGUAGUCUUAACCAUAAACGAUGUCGACUGGCGAUCCGCUUUUGCUAACAUGAAGGCUUAGCGGGCAGCCUCCG
Molecule: unclassified non-coding RNA, 496 nt
Filed under: uncultured Paraglomus
Lineage: Eukaryota; Fungi; Glomeromycota; Glomeromycetes; Paraglomerales; Paraglomeraceae
Description: SSU rRNA
Rfam family: Eukaryotic small subunit ribosomal RNA
Source: RNAcentral